UGGAGUCGUCCUUGAAAUACCACCCUUGUAGUUUUGAUGUUCUAACGUUGGUCCCUGAAUCGGGAUUACGGACAGUGCCUGGUGGGUAGUUUGACUGGGGCGGUCUCCUCCCAAAGAGUAACGGAGGAGCACGAAGGUGGGCUAAACACGGUUGGACAUCGUGUGGUUAGUGCAAUGGCAUAAGCCCGCUUGACUGCGAGAAUGACAAUUCGAGCAGGUGCGAAAGCAGGUCAUAGUGAUCCGGUGGUUCUGAAUGGAAGGGCCAUCGCUCAACGGAUAAAAGGUACUCCGGGGAUAACAGGCUGAUACCGCCCAAGAGUUCAUAUCGACGGCGGUGUUUGGCACCUCGAUGUCGGCUCAUCACAUCCUGGGGCUGAAGUCGGUCCCAAGGGUAUGGCUGUUCGCCAUUUAAAGUGGUACGCGAGCUGGGUUUAGAACGUCGUGAGACAGUUCGGUCCCUAUCUGCCGUGGGCGUUGGAAAAUUGAAAGGGGCUGCUCCUAGUACGAGAGGACCGGAGUGGACGAACCUCUGGUGUUCGGGUUGUCAUGCCAAUGGCAUUGCCCGGUAGCUAAGUUCGGAAUCGAUAACCGCUGAAAGCAUCUAAGCGGGAAGCGAGCCUUGAGAUGAGUUUUCCCUGGCACUAUAAGUGUCCUAAAGGGUUGUCGUAGACUACGACGUUGAUAGGCAGGGUGUGUAAGUGCUGCGAGGCAUUGAGCUAACCUGUACUAAUUGCCCAUGAGGCUUAACCAUACAACACCCAAGGGGUUU
RNAcentral lists this ribosomal RNA (769 nucleotides) under Vibrio cyclitrophicus FF160. Its description in RNAcentral is "bacterial LSU rRNA". It matches the Rfam family "Bacterial large subunit ribosomal RNA", at positions 2181 to 2925 of the family's 2925-position model. Lineage: Bacteria; Pseudomonadati; Pseudomonadota; Gammaproteobacteria; Vibrionales; Vibrionaceae. The record is from RNAcentral.